AGCUGGUGGCCCUGAGCUCGAGCUGCAGCCCUCCUUUCGGCCCAGAAGACAAAUGAAUGGCCCACGAUCCAUGCGACACGGCCUGGGGGAGAGAAGGAAAACAGAUCAUAACAGCCCCUUAUGCACCCAGCCCCCGGGGAUCCCCCCAAAGGCCCUUCACCAUCUUACUCCAAUAAACCCAAGCGCACAUAUGAACGGAACCGUACCGACUCCCAUCUC
Molecule: non-coding RNA, 219 nt
Organism: Pelobates cultripes (western spadefoot toad)
Lineage: Eukaryota; Metazoa; Chordata; Amphibia; Anura; Pelobatidae
Source: the annotation of a GenBank genome assembly